AUACAGCUGACGCGUCUCAAAUAGGACGAAAUGUGCGUCCUGGAU
Schistosoma mattheei is the source of this 45-nucleotide non-coding RNA. The record is from Rfam. NCBI's taxonomy places the organism in Eukaryota, Metazoa, Platyhelminthes, Trematoda, Strigeidida, Schistosomatidae.